ACCCCGGGCUGCUGUGGAGGCGGGGAGCUGCGAGUCCAGCCCACCCUGGUCAGUGGGCCCUGGAGAUGCCAGUGCAGACUGUCCGGAGUUCGGUGGUGCCCACCCCCGAUCCGUUGUGGGGCGAGCCCUUGAUGGGUGUCUCGCUACCUGUAAGUCACCCCCAUGAUUUCAAGACAAACAUUUAGCAAGUGCUUCUUUCCACCUGGCCAGUUUCUGCCUGUAAUGUGUUGUCGGUCUGGCUCAGUCAUCUGGAGAUACACGCGGGGCUCGCUCUUCUCAGGACGUUCCGGGCCACGGUGCGUGCCCUCCUGAUUUUGCGGGCUUGGCGUGAAACAGCCCCUGGCGCCCUGACUUCCACUCUUGGCUCCCACCACCUCCCCCCCCAAAGCCGUGUCC
Molecule: long non-coding RNA, 396 nt
Organism: Hyaena hyaena (striped hyena)
Lineage: Eukaryota; Metazoa; Chordata; Mammalia; Carnivora; Hyaenidae
Exons: 3
Source: RefSeq, a predicted model, not a curated record